Molecule: ribosomal RNA, 647 nt
Filed under: Limosilactobacillus fermentum
Lineage: Bacteria; Bacillati; Bacillota; Bacilli; Lactobacillales; Lactobacillaceae
Description: bacterial SSU rRNA
Rfam family: Bacterial small subunit ribosomal RNA
Source: RNAcentral
AAGCUCUGUUGUUAAAGAAGAACACGUAUGAGAGUAACUGUUCAUACGUUGACGGUAUUUAACCAGAAAGUCACGGCUAACUACGUGCCAGCAGCCGCGGUAAUACGUAGGUGGCAAGCGUUAUCCGGAUUUAUUGGGCGUAAAGAGAGUGCAGGCGGUUUUCUAAGUCUGAUGUGAAAGCCUUCGGCUUAACCGGAGAAGUGCAUCGGAAACUGGAUAACUUGAGUGCAGAAGAGGGUAGUGGAACUCCAUGUGUAGCGGUGGAAUGCGUAGAUAUAUGGAAGAACACCAGUGGCGAAGGCGGCUACCUGGUCUGCAACUGACGCUGAGACUCGAAAGCAUGGGUAGCGAACAGGAUUAGAUACCCUGGUAGUCCAUGCCGUAAACGAUGAGUGCUAGGUGUUGGAGGGUUUCCGCCCUUCAGUGCCGGAGCUAACGCAUUAAGCACUCCGCCUGGGGAGUACGACCGCAAGGUUGAAACUCAAAGGAAUUGACGGGGGCCCGCACAAGCGGUGGAGCAUGUGGUUUAAUUCGAAGCUACGCGAAGAACCUUACCAGGUCUUGACAUCUUGCGCCAACCCUAGAGAUAGGGCGUUUCCUUCGGGAACGCAAUGACAGGUGGUGCAUGGUCGUCGUCAGCUCGUGUC